Molecule: ribosomal RNA, 389 nt
Filed under: Pelagomonas sp.
Lineage: Eukaryota; Pelagophyceae; Pelagomonadales; Pelagomonadaceae
Also listed under: 1 other name
Description: SSU rRNA
Rfam family: Eukaryotic small subunit ribosomal RNA
Source: RNAcentral
AGCUCCAAUAGCGUAUAUUAAUGUUGUUGCAGUUAAAAAGCUCGUAGUUGGAUUCCUGGCCUGGGGUAGCCGGUCCGCCUUGCAAAAGGUGCGCACUGAGCGGCCUCGGCCAUCCUUGGGAAGAGCAGUCCUGGCAUUCAGUUGUCGGGGUUGGGAUUCCCGACGUUUACUGUGAAAAAAUCAGAGUGUUCAACGCAGGCUUACGCCUUGAAUACAUUAGCAUGGAAUAAUGAGAUAGGACCUUGGCGGUCUAUUUUGUUGGUUUGCACGCCGAGGUAAUGAUUAAAAGGGACGGUUGGGGUUCUUCGUAUUCAAUUGUCAGAGGUGAAAUUCUUGGAUUUAUGGAAGACGAACUGCUGCGAAAGCGUCGAACAAGGACGUUCUCAUUA